GACGAACGCUGGCGGCGUGCUUAACACAUGCAAGUCGAACGGAAAGGCCCUGCUUGCGGGGUACUCGAGUGGCGAACGGGGGAGUAACACGUGGGUGAUCUGCCCCGCACUUCGGGAUAAGCCUGGGAAACUGGGGCUAAUACCGGAUAGGAGCCAUUCUGAGUGUGAGGGUUGGAAAGUUUUUUCGGUGUAGGGUGAGCUCGCGGCCUAUCAGCUUGCUGGUGGGGUUAGGGGCUACCAAAGCGGCGGCGGGUAGGCGGCCGGGGUGGGUGGACGGCCACAGUGGGGCUGGGAUAACGCCCCGACCUCUUCCGGGGGGCGGCGUUGGGGAAAUUGGCCCAUUGGCCGGAGGCCGAUGGCGCCAACCCGGGGGGGGGAAUGCGGCCUUCCGGUUGGUAACCCGCUUCCCCAUGGACGGAGCUUUUUGUGACGGUACCUAGUUAAGAAGCACCGGCUAACUACGUG
Molecule: ribosomal RNA, 465 nt
Filed under: uncultured bacterium
Lineage: Bacteria
Description: partial 16S ribosomal RNA
Rfam family: Bacterial small subunit ribosomal RNA
Source: RNAcentral